This 732-nucleotide ribosomal RNA is filed under the name uncultured archaeon. RNAcentral's name for it is "bacterial SSU rRNA". It matches the Rfam family "Archaeal small subunit ribosomal RNA", at positions 52 to 789 of the family's 1478-position model. The record is from RNAcentral.
UGCGAGUCGAGAGGGUUCGGCCCUCGGCAGACUGCUCAGUAACACGUGGAUAACCUACCCUUAGGUGGAAGAUAAUCUCGGGAAACUGAGAAUAAUACUCCAUAGAUCUAGGCUGCUGGAAUGCAUCUAGAUCAAAAGCUCCGGCGCCUAAGGAUGGGUCUGCGGACUAUCAGGUUGUAGUCAGGAUAAAGACCUGACUAGCCUACGACGGAUAUGGGUUGUGAGAGCAAUAGCCCAGAGACGAUAUCUGAGACACGAUAUCGGGCCCUACGGGGCGCAGCAGGCGCGAAAUCUUCACAAUGUGCGAAAGCACGAUGAGGGAAUCCCAAGUGCUAGCACGUAAGUGUUAGCUGUUUCUUAGUCUAAAAAACUCAGAGAGUAAGAGCUGGGUAAGACGGGUGCCAGCCGCCGCGGUAAUACCUGCAGCUCAAGUGGUGGCCGCUAUUAUUGGGCCUAAAACGUCCGUAGCCUGUUUAGUAAAUGCUUGGGUAAAUUGUGUAGCUUAACUAUACGAAUACCGGGUAGACUGCUAAACUUGGGACCGGGAGAGGCUAGAGGUACUCCUAGGGUAGAGGUGAAAUUCUGUAAUCCUAGGGGGACCACCAGUGGCGAAGGCGUCUAGCUAGAACGGGUCUGACGGUGAGGGACGAAGCCCUGGGGCGCGAACCGGAUUAGAUACCCGGGUAGUCCAGGGUGUAAACGCUGCUUGCUUGAUGUUAGUUGGGCUCCGAG